This 86-nucleotide transfer RNA is filed under the name Escherichia coli. RNAcentral's name for it is "tRNA-Leu". RNAcentral also lists the same sequence under 1 other name. The record is from RNAcentral. Lineage: Bacteria; Pseudomonadati; Pseudomonadota; Gammaproteobacteria; Enterobacterales; Enterobacteriaceae.
GCGAAGGUGGCGGAAUUGGUAGACGCGCUAGCUUCAGGUGUUAGUGUUCUUACGGACGUGGGGGUCAAGUCCCCCCCCUCGCACCA